This 215-nucleotide unclassified non-coding RNA is filed under the name Hevea brasiliensis (rubber tree). Lineage: Eukaryota; Viridiplantae; Streptophyta; Magnoliopsida; Malpighiales; Euphorbiaceae. The record is from RNAcentral.
CAUGAACCCAGCAAUUAUAGAGAAAUUAUUUCUUGUUCAGAUGCAGAUCAUUGGGUCGGUGCUAUAAGUGAAAAAAUUGAAUCUCUUCACAAGAAUUAGACUUGGAAGCUUGUAACAUUGCGUAAGGGACAGAAAGUGGUAGGCUGCAAAUGGGUGUUCAAGAAAAAGAAAGGCACUCCAGGAGUUGAAGUACCUCGAUAUAAGGCACGGUUGGU